AUACGUAUGGAGCAAGCGUCAUCCGGAUUUACUGGGUGUAAAGGGCGCGUAGGCGGCGCGGUAAGUCUGGAGUGAAAGUCCUGCUUUCAAGGUGGGAAUUGCUUUGGAUACUGCCGCGCUUGAGUGCAGGAGAGGUUAUCGGAAUUCCCGGUGUAGCGGUGAAAUGCGUAGAGAUCGGGAGGAACACCAGUGGCGAAGGCGGGUAACUGGACUGCAACUGACGCUGAGGCGCGAAAGUGUGGGGAGCAAACAGGAUUAGAUACCCUGGUAGUCCACACUGUAAACGAUGAAUGCUAGGUGUAAGAGGUAUCGACCCCUUUUGUGCCGGAGUCAACACAAUAAGCAUUCCGCCUGGGGAGUACGGCCGCAAGGUUGAAACUCAAAGGAAUUGACGGGG
This 397-nucleotide ribosomal RNA is filed under the name uncultured bacterium. RNAcentral describes it as "partial 16S ribosomal RNA". It matches the Rfam family "Bacterial small subunit ribosomal RNA", at positions 523 to 918 of the family's 1533-position model. The record is from RNAcentral.